CGCGGUAAUACGUAGGGUGCAAGCGUUGUCCGGAAUUACUGGGCGUAAAGAGUUCGUAGGCGGUUUGUCGCGUCGUUUGUGAAAACCAGCAGCUCAACUGCUGGCUUGCAGGCGAUACGGGCAGACUUGAGUACUGCAGGGGAGACUGGAAUUCCUGGUGUAGCGGUGAAAUGCGCAGAUAUCAGGAGGAACACCGGUGGCGAAGGCGGGUCUCUGGGCAGUAACUGACGCUGAGGAACGAAAGCGUGGGUAGCGAACAGGAUUAGAUACCCUGGUAGUCCACGCCGUAAACGGUGGGCGCUAGGUGUGGGUUCCUUCCACGGAAUCCGUGCCGUAGCUAACGCAUUAAGCGCCCCGCCUGGGGAGUACGGCCGCAAGGCUAAAACUCAAAGGAAUUGACGGGGGCCCGCACAAGCGGCGAAGCA
Molecule: ribosomal RNA, 425 nt
Filed under: actinobacterium Jbg14
Lineage: Bacteria; Bacillati; Actinomycetota; Actinomycetes
Description: bacterial SSU rRNA
Rfam family: Bacterial small subunit ribosomal RNA
Source: RNAcentral